GAUGAAGAACGUAGCGAAAUGCGAUAAGUAAUGUGAAUUGCAGAAUUCAGUGAAUCAUCGAAUCUUUGAACGCACAUUGCGCCCGCCAGUAUUCUGGCGGGCAUGCCUGUUCGAGCGUCAUUUCAACCAUCAAGCCCCCGGCUUGUGUUGGGGACCUGCGGCUGCCGCAGGCCCUGAAAAGCAGUGGCGGGCUCGCUGUCACACCGAGCGUAGUAGCAUACAUCUCGCUCUGGGCGUGCUGCGGGUUCCGGCCGUUAAACCACCUUCAUAACCCAAGGUUGACCUCGGAUCGGGUAGGAAGACCCGCUGAACUUAAGCAUAUCAAUAAGCGGAGGA
This 336-nucleotide unclassified non-coding RNA is filed under the name soil metagenome. RNAcentral describes it as "partial contains 5.8S ribosomal RNA, internal transcribed spacer 2, and large subunit ribosomal RNA". The stretch from base 1 to 120 matches the Rfam family "5.8S ribosomal RNA", at positions 35 to 154 of the family's 154-position model. The record is from RNAcentral.